AACGAACGCUGGCGGCGUGCCUAACACAUGCAAGUCGUGCGAGAAAGUUCCUUCGGGAGCGAGUAAAGCGGCGCACGGGUGAGUAACACGUAGGUAACCUGCCCCCCAGUCUGGAACAACUAGAGGAAACUCUAGCUAAUGCCGGAUGAGACCACGAUCCCUUCGGGGGUUGCGGCCAAAGAUGGCCUCUACUUGUAAGCUAUCGCUGAGGGAUGGGCCUGCGGGCCAUUAGCUUGUUGGUGAGGUAACGGCUCACCAAGGCUGUGAUGGCUAGCUGGUCUGAGAGGAUGACCAGCCACACUGGGACUGAGACACGGCCCAGACUCCUACGGGAGGCAGCAGUGGGGAAUAUUGCGCAAUGGGCGAAAGCCUGACGCAGCGACGCCGCGUGGGCGAUGAAGGCCUUCGGGUCGUAAAGCCCUGUCGCAGGGGAAGAAUAAGCAUCGGUAUAAUACGCCGGUGCCCUGACGGUACCCUGCAAGAAAGCACCGGCUAACUCCGUG
Molecule: ribosomal RNA, 503 nt
Filed under: uncultured bacterium
Lineage: Bacteria
Description: bacterial SSU rRNA
Rfam family: Bacterial small subunit ribosomal RNA
Source: RNAcentral